GACGAACGCUGGCGGCGUGCCUAAUACAUGCAAGUCGAGCGAGCGGAACUAACAGAUUUACCUCGGUAAUGACGUUAGGAAAGCGAGCGGCGGAUGGGUGAGUAACACGUGGGGAACCUGCCCCAUAGUCUGGGAUACCACUUGGAAACAGGUGCUAAUACCGGAUAAGAAAGCAGAUCGCAUGAUCAGCUUUUAAAAGGCGGCGUAAGCUGUCGCUAUGGGAUGGCCCCGCGGUGCAUUAGCUAGUUGGUAAGGUAAAGGCUUACCAAGGCGAUGAUGCAUAGCCGAGUUGAGAGACUGAUCGGCCACAUUGGGACUGAGACACGGCCCAAACUCCUACGGGAGGCAGCAGUAGGGAAUCUUCCACAAAGGACGCAAGUCUGAUGGAGCAACGCCGCGUGAGUGAAGAAGGUUUUCGGAUCGUAAAGCUCUGUUGUUGGUGAAGAAGGAUAGAGGUAGUAACUGGCCUUUAUUUGACGGUAAUCAACCAGAAAGUCACGGCUAACUACGUG
RNAcentral lists this ribosomal RNA (512 nucleotides) under uncultured bacterium. RNAcentral's name for it is "partial 16S ribosomal RNA". It matches the Rfam family "Bacterial small subunit ribosomal RNA", at positions 28 to 507 of the family's 1533-position model. The record is from RNAcentral.